GGGGUGGUGGCGCAGUUGGCUAGCGCGUAGGUCUCAUAAUCCUGAGGUCGAGAGUUCGAGCCUCUCCUCACCCCA
Argentina anserina (silverweed cinquefoil) is the source of this 75-nucleotide non-coding RNA. The record is from the annotation of a RefSeq genome assembly. Lineage: Eukaryota; Viridiplantae; Streptophyta; Magnoliopsida; Rosales; Rosaceae.